CGACCCUUCUUAAGCCGAGGGUCACCUAGCCAACUGACGUUGUUAGUGAAUGCACAUUGUUCACAUUAAAUAUUAGCCAAUCGCGAUUGUUGCGGUUGGCUUUUUUUUU
Non-coding RNA from Vibrio mytili, 109 nucleotides. The record is from Rfam. Lineage: Bacteria; Pseudomonadati; Pseudomonadota; Gammaproteobacteria; Vibrionales; Vibrionaceae.